GUUACGGGGACGACCUGCGGGAGCACGCGGGCAGUGGCCGGACGCUGAAGCCCAGGAGAGCGAUGGAGACGUAUGCGGAGGCUGGGAAGGAGGGCAAGCCUUCCUGUGCAUCGGUGGAUCUGCAGGGAGACAGCUCCUUACAGGUGGAGAUUUCUGACGCAGUGAGUGAGCGGGACAAGGUGAAAUUCACUGUUCAAACAAAGAGCUGCCUCCCUCACUUCGCCCAGACCGAGUUCUCAGUCGUGCGGCAGCACGAGGAGUUCAUCUGGCUGCAUGAUGCCUAUGUGGAGAACGAGGAGUACGCCGGCCUCAUCGUGAGGAGGGGCUGGGCAGGGGCUGGGAGGGACAGGCAGAGCACUUGGGUGAGGACCAAAGGCUGUGAUGGCCGUCUUGGCAGUGAGAGGCCUCCCAGCUCCGUCCCUCCUUUGAGCAGAUCCCCCCAGCCCCUCCGAGGCCAGACUUUGAGGCUUCGAGGGAAAAGCUACAGAAAUUGGGCGAGGGGGACAGCUCUGUCACUCGGGAAGAGUUUGCCAAGAUGAAGCAGGAGCUGGAAGCGGAGUACCUGGCCAUCUUUAAGAAGACAGUUGCGAUGCACGAAGUCUUUCUGCAGCGCCUGGCGGCCCACCCCACCCUGCGUCGAGACCACAACUUCUUUGUGUUUUUGGAAUAUGGACAGGAUCUGAGUGUCCGGGGGAAGAACAGGAAGGAGCUCCUCGGAGGGUUUCUGAGGAAUAUUGUGAAGUCCGCGGAUGAAGCCCUCAUCACGGGCAUGUCAGGGCUCAAGGAGGUGGAUGACUUCUUUGAGCAUGAGAGGACCUUCCUGUUGGAGUAUCACACCCGUAUCCGAGAUGCCUGCCUGCGGGCCGACCGCGUCAUGCGCGCCCACAAGUGCCUGGCAGACGAUUAUAUCC
This 911-nucleotide small RNA is filed under the name Pan troglodytes (chimpanzee). RNAcentral describes it as "retained intron". Lineage: Eukaryota; Metazoa; Chordata; Mammalia; Primates; Hominidae. The record is from RNAcentral.